UACGUAGGGGGGCAAGCGUUGUCCGGAAUCAUUGGGCGUAAAGAGCGCGUAGGCGGCCCAGUAAGUCCGCUCUGAAAGUCAGGGGGCUCAACCCCUGAAUGCGGGUGGAUACUGCUGGGCUAGAGUCCGGAAGAGGCGAGUGGAAUUCCUGGUGUAGCGGUGAAAUGCGCAGAUAUCAGGAAGAACACCCGUGGCGAAGGCGGCUCUCUGGGACGGUACUGACGCUGAGACGCGAAAGCGUGGGGAGCGAACAGG
Molecule: ribosomal RNA, 255 nt
Filed under: uncultured bacterium
Lineage: Bacteria
Description: partial 16S ribosomal RNA
Rfam family: Bacterial small subunit ribosomal RNA
Source: RNAcentral